Molecule: long non-coding RNA, 3193 nt
Organism: Pan troglodytes (chimpanzee)
Lineage: Eukaryota; Metazoa; Chordata; Mammalia; Primates; Hominidae
Exons: 3
Source: RefSeq, a predicted model, not a curated record
GUGGGGACGGUGGCCCCGAGGGGACAAGCGUGGCCGCAUUAGCUCUUUCUGCCUCCCACGCAGCCUUAUUUUUUUUAUUGUUGUUUUCUUGUUGCUGUUGUUGUUGUUCUCGGAGACGAAGUCUUGCUUUUGCUCUGUCGUCGCUCACGAUAGAGUACAGUGGCGUGAUCUCUGCUCACUGCAACCUCCGCCUCCUGGGUUCAAACAAUUCUGCCUCAGCCUCCGGAGUAGCUGGGAUUACAGGCGCGCGCCACUAUGCCCGGCUAAUUUUUGUGUUUUUAGUAAAGACGGGGUUUCACCAUGUCGGCCAGGCUGUUCUCGAACUCCUGACCUCGUGAUCCCUCCGUCUCGGCUUCCCAAAGUGCUGGGAUUACGGGCGUGAGCCACCGUGCCCGGCCGCAGCCUUGUUUUGACUGAGUCAGUGGGAGCCAUUACUGUUCCUAAAUGUAAACUGGCGCGACAGGAGUUCCGAGAUUGUCCACAGCACGGUGAUGUGGAAGCCCUGGGGAGAGAAUGAUAAAGAAAGGGGAUGAGGAACAGCUCCACCCGGAAGAGCGGGCUUCCCUAGCAAAUGAAUCUGGAAGGGCGCAGUGGAGGGGGCACGGCGAGUUCAGAUGGACCGAGGCUGGAAGCUGACGCGGUUGGAGGGGGAUGGGUGUAGCUGUUGGCAGUGGCGCUGGGGUGGAAGUGUGUGGGGUCACAGAUGUGUAAGGGUGGGCGCGGAGCAGACCCCCGAAGGUCCCUGAGGUCAGGCUGAGGCAUUGGACCAAAUCCGUACAUAGGCAUUUCUCUGAACUGCGCGCCACCUUUUGAGUGCCAUCUGUUUCCGUCCAGGACUCUGAUACAACUAUCCAGUCCGCUGCAGGGACCGGUCACUGUGUCACACAUUCUGUACACAGACACAGCGAUAAAAUGAAAUGACUGGAACUUAAAUGUGAAAACUCUUUACAACUCCAGAUUCCUCAUCUUGCAGCUGGGAUCCAGAGCUCUCACUCCAGGAGCCCAGUCACAGCAAAAACCAAAACUGUACUUUUUUUUUUUCUGGAGACAGGGUCUCUCAUUCUGUCACCCAGGCUGGAGUGCAAUGACGUGAUCUCUGUCUCAGCCCACAGCAGCUUCAACCUCCCAGGCUCAAGUGAUCCUCCUGCCUCAGCUACGCAGUGUAUGGUAUUUUGUUACAACAACCAGAAUGUAGUAAGACAUUUAUUGAAGGAUAUCUUGGUUCCUUCCAAGUUUUUGGCAGUGAUAAAGAAAGCUGCCAUAAACGUGCACGUGCAGAUUUCUUUGUGGGCAGAAGUUUUCAACCCAUCUGUGUAAAUCCUGGGGAGCACUGUUGCUGGUGCAUAUUCUAAGAGUAUGUUUAGGAUUAUGAGAGACCGCCACACUGUCCUCCAAAGUAGCUGUACCAUUCUGCAUUGCCAGCACCAAUGAAGAAGGGUUUCUGUUGCUCCACAUUUCUGCCAGCAUUUGGUGGUGCCAGCAUUUUGGAUUUGGCAUUCUAAUAGGUAUGUAGUGGUGUCUUGUUUUUUUUUUUUUUUUUUUGAGACAGAGUCUCACUCUGUCUUCCAGGCUGGAGUGCAGUGGCAUGGUCUUGGCUCACUGCAACCUCCGCCUCCUGGGUUCAAGCGAUUCUCCUGCCUCAGCCUCCCGAGUAGCUGGGACUACAGGCGUGCGCCACCACGCCCAGCUAAUUUUUGUAUUUUUAGUAGAAACAGGGUUUCACCAUGUUGGCCAGGAUGAUCUCGAUCUCUUGACCUCGUGAUCCACCUGCCUUGGCCUUCCAAAGUGCUAGGAUUACAGGUGUGAGCCACCGCGUCCGGCCAGUGGUGUCUUGUUUUAACGGACAGUUCCCUAAUGACAUACGGUGAACAUCUUUUCCUGUGUUUAUUUGCCAUCUGUAUUAGGGUUCUCCAGAGGGCCAGAACUAACAGGAUAUAUGUAUAUAUUGAAAGGGAGUAUAUUAGGGAGAACUGGCUCACAGGAUCAUCAGGCAAAGUCCCACUAUAGGCCAUCUGCAAGCUGAGGAAGGAAGAAGCCAGUCACGUCUCAAAGUCCAAAAGCCUCAAAAGUAGGGAAGCCAACGGCGCAGCCUUCAGUCUGUGGUGGAAGGCCCAAGAGUCCCCGACACACCACUGGUGGAAGUUCAAGAGUCCAAAGGCCAAAGAACCUGGAGUCUAAUCUCCAAAGACAGGAAGUAUCCAGCGCAGGAGAAAGAUGAAACCCAGAAGACUCAGCAAGCCAGCCCCUCCCACCUUCUGCCUGUUCUAGCCACACUGGCACUAACUGGAUGGUGCCCACCCACACUGAGAGUGGGUCUUCCUCUCCCAGUCCACUGACUCAAGUGUCAGUCUCCCUGGCAACACCCUCACAGACACACCCAGAAACAAUCCUUUUUUUUUUUUUUUUUUGAGACCGAAUCUCACUCUGUCACCCAGGUUGGAGUGCAGUGGCACCAUCUCGGCUCACUCCAACCUCCGCCUCCCAAGCAAUUCUUCUGCCUCAGCCUCCCGAGUAGCUGGGACUACAGGCACGUGCCAUCAUGCUGGCUAAUUUUUGUAUUUUUAGUACAGACAGGGUUUCACCAUAUUGGCCAGGCUGGUCUCAAAUUCCUGCCCGUCUUGGCCUCCCAAAGUGCUGGGAUUACAGGUGUAAGCCACCAUGCCUGGCCCCUUUUCCUAUUUUUUAAUCAGAUUGUUUUCCUGUUAACUGAGUUUUAAGAGCCCUUUGUAAAUCUUGGAUAGCAGUCCUUCAUGAGAUAGGUCUCUUGCAAAUAGUUUCUCCCAGGCUGCAGCUUUUCUCAUUAUAUUAAAAAUGUUUUUCAAAGAGCAGAGGGUUUUGUUUUGUUUUGUUUUGUUUUUUGAGAUGGAGUCUCGCUCUGUCGCCCAGUCUGGAGUGCAGUGGCGUGAUCUCGGCUCACUGCAAGCUCCGCCUCCCGGGUUCACGCCAUUCUCCUGCCUCAGCCUCCUGAGUAGCUGGGACUACAGGCACCUGCCACCACACCUGGCUAAUUUUUUGUAUUUUUAGUAGAGACGGGGCUUCACCGUGUUAGCCAGGAUGGUCUCGAUCUCCUGACCUCGUGAUCCGCCCGCUUCGACCUCCCAAAGUGCUGGGAUUACAGGCGUGAGCCACCACGCCUGGCCUAGCAGAGGGGUUUUUUUAUUAUUAUUUUAAUAAAGUCAAGCUUGUAAGUUUC